This 115-nucleotide ribosomal RNA is filed under the name Acanthosepion pharaonis. The record is from RNAcentral. Lineage: Eukaryota; Metazoa; Mollusca; Cephalopoda; Sepiida; Sepiidae.
UUACGGUCAAAUCACGCUGAAAACACCGGUUCUCGUUCGAUCACCGAAGUUAAGCAUCGUGGAGCCAGGUCAGUACUUAGAUGGGGGACCGCUUGGGAACACCUGGUACUGUAAG